UCUGAUAUUUGCCUCUUUCUCAUAUUUAUUCUGAAAUAAAAAUGCAAGUAAGAAAUGAAAGGGGAAAAACAUUUAAAAAAAAUGACUGCAAUAAGAAAGCAUUUUUGGAAUAGGCUAUAUGAUCAACUGAAAUAAGGGUUUGCUUCUUUUGAUAUUCUAGGGAGAUUUUCAAUAGAUAUUGGAUUGGAAACCAAGGCCUUAUGCUUUCCUCAGAAGUUUAUGAUAAAGGCACUGAAAUUUGGAGAUAUGCCGAAGUACUUGUGGGAGAUUUGGGUACCUGACAAACCAUGGGUGCCGCAGGACGAAUUCUACGACCAGGCCUCACCGGACAAGAGGACUGAAGCUGACGGCAACUCCGACCCCAACUCCGUGCUGAAAGAAGAUAAGGACAAUUGAAGUGAUGUGACCUAUCACCUCAUAUGUGCUGUGGCGGCUCUCUCCAUGUGCUAUGGACCCAGUCACUCCCUGGGUAGAAUAACACACAAUUUCCAUUGAUUUUGGUGGGAGCUGAACACAGGCAA
RNAcentral lists this long non-coding RNA (521 nucleotides) under Dromaius novaehollandiae (emu). RNAcentral describes it as "lncRNA (ENSDNVG00000005166.1)". Lineage: Eukaryota; Metazoa; Chordata; Aves; Casuariiformes; Dromaiidae. The record is from RNAcentral.